RNAcentral lists this long non-coding RNA (1137 nucleotides) under Zea mays. RNAcentral's name for it is "long non-coding RNA (ZMAY_LNC003018)". Lineage: Eukaryota; Viridiplantae; Streptophyta; Magnoliopsida; Poales; Poaceae. The record is from RNAcentral.
GGGCAAAUCCCUAAGUACGAUCCGGAAGUCCACCACCUAUUUUUGACACACAACUUAGUGCACCAAUUUCACAUAAUCAGGCUCAUAAACGACGCCGCACCUACGCACAAACUCAAACCCCACCGCGGGUUACAUCUCUCCCCAUACCCACCAAACUGCAGCGGCGCUGCUUAAUAAUUUCAUAACUUUAAAAUUAUGACAGCAGUGGAAACAAACAAAAACUCCAGAGGCAUCUACAUAAAAUUCCCCACAAGUUUUGUAUACAAUUUUUAAUUAAAUUCCAAAAACUAAUUAGCCCAAAACAGUCCACAAGAUGAACCCUGUAAUCUGUUUUUUUGUCUUUUGGACAGCGACAUACCCGGAUUCAAACAGCGAUAUCUUUUAAAAUAUAAUUCCAAAUCAAGCGCAUAAGUACUCAUUGGAAAGAUAAGACAAAGCCCUACGUGAUUAUCAUACUGGUUAACACUAAUUACUCACGAAAAAUUCCCAGAAACUGCUAAUACUACUGCUGUUCACCCACCUGAAAAAUCUGUUUUUUUGGACAGCAACAUAACCGGAUUCAAACAACGAUAUCUCCUAAAUUAUAACUCCGAAUCGAGCGCAUAAGUACUCGUUGGAAAGGUAUGACAAAUCUCUACAUGAUUCUCCCACUGAUCCCCACUAAUUGCCCACGAAAAAUUCCCAGAAAUACCUAGAACUACUGCUGUUCGCCCUCCCACAAAAAUUCUGGACAGCACCUCUACCGAUUCGCAUAGAUAAACAUAUAAUCAAUUGAAUUUUAGCGCAAAAACAUAGAUAACUUCAAGAUCACCUUGAGUUCCACCUUUUUCCUCCUUCCUUCCUUCCUCCCACCAAUUCUCCAAUUGAAACUCGCACCCAUACGAAGAAGAUCCGACGAGGAAGAACGACACAUGGAGAAGAGGAGAUGGGGGGUGGCGGCUAGGGUUGAGGAGAUGGCUGCUGCAAAAAAACUUGAGAAUGGAGAGGGGGCGGCUGCAGCACUUGGGGAAGAGAGAAGAGGGAAGAGGGGGGAGGGUGACGGCCAAAGGAGGGAAAGGGGGGCUGCCCACAAGGGGCCUUAAGAGAGGGGACGGCUAGGGUUUUGGGGGGGGAGUGGGCUUCCCACCGCCGGAUCGC